UGAAAUAAUAAGCUUUCUUAUUUUCUCUGUGAAAUCAAGCCUACUGAGCACCAUCUGCCUCUCGUGUGUUAAACAGCUGAAGGUCAUACUUAGACUAUUGUCAGGAACAUGGAAGAAAAACCUGCAAACUCCUGUGUCAUCAUGCAGUUUUAUACUUUUCAUUCCAAAGAAAUUUUCCCAAGAGAGACAGACAUCCUUCCCAGCCGUAUAUAGAGACACCAAAAUAAACAGGCCAUGAGAAAGAGCAUGAGUGAUGCGGAGCCCAGCUUCUUGGCGAGGGAUGGGUCUCAGAGCUGAUUUCGUCUGUUCUGCAGCUCUGCUCACGUGGUGCAGACAUUAAUAAUCAAGGAGAUGGGCUGAGCUCUGAGGCCUUCUGCCCUUGCUGCUGGACCCCGUGACCUGAGCACUCCACCCUUGUCAGAAGGAACCAAAUGCCCCAGGGGCCACUGAAACCCUGCAAAUCCAGCUCCUGGGCUGCUUUCAAAAAUACCAACUCCACAGAGACUAAGGGACAAAAAGAAGCAAACAGGAUGAGAUGUAAUAUUUUCAAGAUGUCAAUACUUACCAAAUUGAUCUACAAAUUCAAGACAAUCCCUAUCAAAAUCCCAGCUGCCGGUUUUUGCAAAAAUGGACAAACUCCUGAUGCAAAUUUUAAUACGAAAAUGCAAGGGACCCUUGGUGGUCAAAACAACCUUGCAAAAAGAAAAACAAAAUUAAGAACUCAUAUUUCCCAAUUUCAAAAGUUACUACGAAACUGCAGUAAUCAAGAGAGUGUGAUACCGACAUAAGAAUAGGCAUAUAGACCUAUAAAAUAAACAUCAGAGUUCAGAAAUAAACCCUUUAUGGUCAGUUUAUGGUUAGUUGAUUUUUGAUAAGGGUGCCAAUAUCAUUCAGUGGGGGAUAGAAUCGUCUUUUCAAUAAAUGGCGCUGGGACAACUGGAUAUCCAGGUGCAAAGAAUUAAUUUGAACCCUACCUCACACCAUAUAUAAAAAUUAAUUAAAAAUGGAUCAUAGACCUAACCAAUAAGAAAUAAAACUAUAAAAUUCUUGGAAGAAAACAGAGGUGUAAAUCUUUAUGACCUUGGAUUAAGCAAUGAUGUCUAUAAUAUCAAAAGCACAGAUGACAAAAAAAAUUAGCUAAAUUGGAUUUCAUCAAAAUUGGAAACAUUUGCAGUUCAAAGGACACUUUGAAAGUGCAAGGACAAUCCACAGAAUGGGAGAAAACAUUUGCAAAUUGUAUAUCUGAUAAGAGAUUAAUAUUUAGAAUAUAGACAGAACUGUCACAACUUAAUAAUAAAAAGAAAAAUAACUCAAUUUUAAAAUGGGCAAAGUAUCUGAAUUCUCUAAAGAAGACAGACAAAUGGCCAGAUAAAAAGUUGCCUAACAUCAUUAGUCAUUAGGGAAAUGCAAAUCAAAACCACCAGGAGAUAUGUUUCACAUACACUAGAACAGCUAGAAUCAAAAGGACAGCUGAUAACAAGUGUUGGCGAGGAUGUAGAAGAAUUGGAACCUUCAUGCAUUGUUGGUGAGAAUGUCAAAUGGAGCAGCUGUCUGGAAAACAGUUUGCCAACUCCUCAAAAGAUUAAAUGUAGAGUUACCAUAUGACCCAAUAAUUCCACUCCCAGGUAUAUAUCUGAGCCACACAAUAUAUAUGUCCAAAUAAAACUCUGCACACAAAUGUACAUGGCAGUAACCUUCACAACAGCCAAAAAAUGGAAUCAGCUCCAUGUCCACAACUUAGGUGUAAAUGAAUAAAAUGUAGUAUCCACACGAUGGAACAUUAUUCGUCAUAAAAUUGAACGGAUGGCUGAUACAUGCUACAGUUGGAAGAAACUUGAAAACAUGCUAAGUCAAAGAAGCCAGUUAUAAAAGACCACAUAUUGUAUGAUUCCGUUUAUAUGAAAUGGCCAGAAUAGGUAAAUCCAUAGGGACAGAAAAUCACUUCGUGUUUGCUAGGGGCUGGAUCAAGAAGGGCCAGGAGUGACUGCCAAUGGGUCAGAGGGUUCUUUUUUGGGGUGACAAAAUGUUCUAAAAUUGUGGUGAUGCUUGCAAAACUGUGAAUAUAUUAACAACUAUUGUUGGAUUGUAUACUUUGAGAUGCUAUGUGAUUUAUAUCUCAAACCUUUCAAAGAAAUCACUCGUUUUAACACACUGCACUGAUGUUAUGGGGGGUAGCUGGCCCUCAGGAUGACAGUUCCAUUCAGUCGAUGUUUCUUGAUUUGCAACUGUUGCACACCAACCAGGUGCCAGAUGUGAGGGUGUUGAAGUGACCAAGACCCAGUCCUGGUCUUUCUGAGACUCACGGUCUGUUCAGAGAAGCAAAUACAUAUACCCAAAUGCUUCCAAUGGGGGAGGGACUGUGGGUACCUGUUACAGUUAAAGCACAAAAUGUGAGAAAAGAUGACAAGAGCUGGAAAUCCCAACUGCUCCUUCCUCUCGGGAAAGGAAGUGAGCCUGGUGAAGGGGGAGACAGUUCAUUGGCACCUUCUCCUUCCUGGGGGGUGGGCUCUCCAGACACCCCCACUGAACAGAUGGGUGAACAGAUGAGAACUUGUUGAGCCCUGGGGUGGCUGGGUGUCCUGGGGGAUACACGGAGAGCUAAGGCAUGGCCCAACUAAGAGCCAUGGCCUCCCAGGCGGGGACACACAGAGCUGGUGACCUGCAGGAGGGUGCAGGCGGCAGACACCCAGGAUGGCAGUGCUGCAGGAGGGCCACGUCCUGCUCCCGCUCCUUCCAGAUUGUGCUCCUUAAGCCACCCAUCCUGGGCCUAUCCACAGGGCCCUGCACAUAGGGCUGUGGGACAGUGAUGGUUUAAACUGGGGUUGGGGGUAAGAUGACAGACCACAGCCCAUCCCUGAGAGCAGAGGAGGGAGGCCUGUCUGGAGCCACCUGACUCUGCCCCAGCCUUCUAGAACUUUUCCCUUCUCCUCCUCCUCCAUGUCCAAGUACCUGAGCUGCUCCAAGAAAGGACUGGCUCCCUGCCCCACGGUGUGCAUCAGCACCUCCCCAUGUGGGGUGAAGCCCCCGCUGGGGGGCCCUUAAGCUGCAUGGGCAGUGGGCCUCCAGACUGGCCCGUAAGCCGAAUGCACACAGAGCGGCAGGGCCCAUCUCAGCAGAAUGAGUUGCUCCCAUCAAAGGCAUCAAUGUAACAGCCCUGCUGGAGGUGCGGGGUGGGUAUUUUAAGCCUUAUCUUUUGUCAUGAAGUCCACCCCUAGUUAAAAUAGUAUUUCAGUGAAGGACUGAGCUUUCUGGGCUCGAGGAGGGGGAGCACCCUGAGGCCUCCCGUUGUGCCCAAGAAGCCGCCUGGGGGGAUGAAGUAGUGUACACUUGCCCUCCUAUCAGGCGAGAAAGCUCGGAAAGAAGCCAGACUUGCAGGAAACUCCUCCCACCCGGUAAUGAUUCCUGCGACCCUUUGUGACCCUGUGAGGAGCUGAAGGACCCAUGGCCGACCCUCUGUGUGACUCACUUCCCUGUGCACAGCUCGUGACUUGGUCUGAAGGACAACAGUGCUGCAGUAGCUCUCCCUGCUCAAGUGCCAUUUCCCCUCCCCGGGCGCCGCACCCUCUUCCUGCCCCCCAGCACCUGGCCCUCCUUCUGGAAGCCUCCUCCCUCAGUCCUGUUCUCUGGUACAAGCCACAUAAACCAGCCCUGGCUGAUUUAGGUAGAAACAGAAUUAAUCUCAAACUCUUCCUGAUCUCUGGGAGGACAGAUGCCAGGCUGAGAAGCUGGGCAGCCAGCAGCAGAGGCUGGAAAUCCCACUCAGGAUGGUCUGGCAAGGAUGGAGGGCACUGCUGGGCUUGGGCACCAGGGGUGCCUGGACCAGCUCCGCAUACGGCUACUGGAACAUCCGGACAAGUGGGAUGCAGCUAUUGCCAGACUCUGAGUGGUGCCUGCCCAGCAGA
Molecule: long non-coding RNA, 3902 nt
Organism: Manis pentadactyla (Chinese pangolin)
Lineage: Eukaryota; Metazoa; Chordata; Mammalia; Pholidota; Manidae
Exons: 3
Source: RefSeq, a predicted model, not a curated record